GAGCGGCGAACGGGUGAGUAACACGUGAGCAACCUGCCCCUGACUUUGGGAUAAGCCCGGGAAACUGGGUCUAAUACCGGAUGCGACCACUCAAGGCAUCUUGUGGUGGUGGAAAGUUUUUCGGUUGGGGAUGGGCUCGCGGCCUAUCAGCUUGUUGGUGGGGUGAUGGCCUACCAAGGCGACGACGGGUAACCGGCCUGAGAGGGCGACCGGUCACACUGGGACUGAGACACGGCCCAGACUCCUACGGGAGGCAGCAGUGGGGAAUAUUGCGCAAUGGGCGGAAGCCUGACGCAGCGACGCCGCGUGGGGGAUGACGGCCUUCGGGUUGUAAACCUCUUUCAGCAGGGACGAAGGGUGACUGACGGUACCUGCAGAAGAAGCGCCGGCUAACUACGUGCCAGCAGCCGCGGUAAUACGUAGGGCGCAAGCGUUGUCCGGAAUUAUUGGGCGUAAAGAGCUCGUAGGCGGUUUGUCGCGUCUGUCGUGAAAGCCCACA
This 499-nucleotide ribosomal RNA is filed under the name Actinomadura sp. 306D04. RNAcentral's name for it is "bacterial SSU rRNA". It matches the Rfam family "Bacterial small subunit ribosomal RNA", at positions 93 to 606 of the family's 1533-position model. Lineage: Bacteria; Bacillati; Actinomycetota; Actinomycetes; Streptosporangiales; Thermomonosporaceae. The record is from RNAcentral.